UGUGGACCUAAUUGAGCCAUAUA
Molecule: non-coding RNA, 23 nt
Filed under: Arabidopsis thaliana (thale cress)
Lineage: Eukaryota; Viridiplantae; Streptophyta; Magnoliopsida; Brassicales; Brassicaceae
Source: RNAcentral